This is a non-coding RNA of Phrynosoma platyrhinos (Desert horned lizard), 71 nucleotides long. NCBI's taxonomy places the organism in Eukaryota, Metazoa, Chordata, Lepidosauria, Squamata, Phrynosomatidae. The record is from the annotation of a GenBank genome assembly.
GCAGAGCCAGUGUAGUGGUUUGAGCAUUGGACUAUGACUUUGCUGGCCAGGGUUCAAGUCCCUGCUCAGCC